Molecule: transfer RNA, 76 nt
Filed under: Flavobacterium sp.
Lineage: Bacteria; Pseudomonadati; Bacteroidota; Flavobacteriia; Flavobacteriales; Flavobacteriaceae
Also listed under: 106 other names
Description: tRNA-Phe
Rfam family: tRNA
About the family: Transfer RNA (tRNA) molecules are approximately 80 nucleotides in length. Their secondary structure includes four short double-helical elements and three loops (D, anti-codon, and T loops).
Source: RNAcentral
GGCCAGGUAGCUCAGUCGGUAGAGCAGGGGACUGAAAAUCCCCGUGUCGGCAGUUCGAUUCUGUCCCUGGCCACCA